Molecule: long non-coding RNA, 208 nt
Filed under: Sus scrofa (pig)
Lineage: Eukaryota; Metazoa; Chordata; Mammalia; Artiodactyla; Suidae
Description: lncRNA (ENSSSCG00000054996.1)
Source: RNAcentral
AACGCCGGAAAGUCAGGCUAAAAGUGUCUGCUGCUGCUGCUGCCGCCCCCCACUCCGCCUCCAGGAGAGACCUGAGGACUCUGCUGCAAUGGAACCACCAAGCCAUCUUUGACCUAGCACUGGGGGGAAAAAUGUCCAGGUGAAGAACCUAAAGAAAUGGUGUUACCUGGCAAGAGAUCUGCUAUCCUUUAUGAAAAAUCCAGCCAAG